This 381-nucleotide long non-coding RNA is filed under the name Cyanistes caeruleus (blue tit). Its description in RNAcentral is "lncRNA (ENSCCEG00000023001.1)". Lineage: Eukaryota; Metazoa; Chordata; Aves; Passeriformes; Paridae. The record is from RNAcentral.
GGGUGACGGGGCAGCCGGUGUCACCGCGCUGGUCCCUGCGGAGCCGCCAGGAGGGGACGCGAGAGCCGGGGUCUGGUGCCGAGCCUUGGAGCAAAGGGGACAGAGCCGGAGGCUGCGGGAGCUGGAGCAGGGCAGCCGGUCCCUCCUGCAGCAGCGGCUGCGGCUCCUGCAGCGGCUCCAGGGGCUGCUCCAGAGGGACAAGGCGGAGACCCUUCGGCAGCUCCGGGAGGCCCUGGAGCAGGUCUAUGGAAUCCCAGCAGCAUCCUGAGCUGGAUCAUCCCAGACUGGAUCAUCCUGGCACGGCUUUGGGAUACGGCAGCGUUCAGUGUGGCAGGGCCAGAAUUUUGGAAUCAUUCAAGUGCUCAAGUUACCUAAACCUUU